UAGGGAAUCUUCGGCAAUGGACGGAAGUCUGACCGAGCAACGCCGCGUGAGUGAAGAAGGUUUUCGGAUCGUAAAGCUCUGUUGUAAGAGAAGAACGAGUGUGAGAGUGGAAAGUUCACACUGUGACGGUAUCUUACCAGAAAGGGACGGCUAACUACGUGCCAGCAGCCGCGGUAAUACGUAGGUCCCGAGCGUUAUCCGGAUUUAUUGGGCGUAAAGCGAGCGCAGGCGGUUAGAUAAGUCUGAAGUUAAAGGCUGUGGCUUAACCAUAGUACGCUUUGGAAACUGUUUAACUUGAGUGCAGAAGGGGAGAGUGGAAUUCCAUGUGUAGCGGUGAAAUGCGUAGAUAUAUGGAGGAACACCGGUGGCGAAAGCGGCUCUCUGGUCUGUAACUGACGCUGAGGCUCGAAAGCGUGGGGAGCAAACAGGACUAGAUACCCUGGUAGUCCACGCCGUAAACGAUGAGUGCUAGGUGUUGGGUCCUUUCCGGGACUCAGUGCCGCAGCUAACGCAUUAAGCACUCCGCCUGGGGAGUACGACCGCAAGGUUG
This 550-nucleotide ribosomal RNA is filed under the name uncultured bacterium. RNAcentral describes it as "bacterial SSU rRNA". It matches the Rfam family "Bacterial small subunit ribosomal RNA", at positions 355 to 896 of the family's 1533-position model. The record is from RNAcentral.